AGAGUAAAUUGAAUAGUCGCUGGUAGAAAUCGAAAGAUACUACGAGAGGAAAGUCCGGGCUCCAUAGAGCAAUGAUGCUAGAUAACGUCUAGUGGGGGCAACCCUAAGGAAAGUGCAACAGAAAAUAACCGCCUCUUUAAGAGUUUAACUUUAUGGUUAUUCGACUUAUAAGCAAAGGAAGAAAUUCUGGAAGUUUUACAAGAGGUAAGGAUGAAAAGGCGAGGUAAGAGCUCACCGCUGUUAUGGUGACAUAGCAGGUCAGUGUAAACCCCAUCUGGAGCAACACCUAAAAAAGAAGAUUAAACCUGCUCGGUGCCUUCUUGAACUGCGUGGCUUGAGAUUAUUAGCAAUAAUAAUCCUAGAUAAAUGGCUAUUUUAAAAGACAGAACCCGGCUUACAGAUUUGCUCUAUAA
Molecule: RNase P RNA, 413 nt
Filed under: Clostridium sp. 27_14
Lineage: Bacteria; Bacillati; Bacillota; Clostridia; Eubacteriales; Clostridiaceae
Description: RNase P RNA component class A
Rfam family: Bacterial RNase P class A
About the family: Ribonuclease P (RNase P) is a ubiquitous endoribonuclease, found in archaea, bacteria and eukarya as well as chloroplasts and mitochondria.
Source: RNAcentral